GAGGCGCUUGGGAGGACUCCCCCAGUUCUGUUAAGAGCUGGGCACAAAGAGCCCUUUGCACUCCAGCCGCAGGAGCGAGGAGGAGCCGAGCUAGAUGCACAUGGGCGUGGGGACUCCGGUACAACACCAACCCACAAGGUUAGCAGACCUGGGGCGUCCAGCGCAGCCUCAAACCCAGGGCAUCUCUGCACUCUCAUCGCGACGUCGCUCUGGAUGCUGUUUGCAUAUCCUUGGGGAGUCACUGCUUUGGCACAACAGUCCUGCGAGGUGCUGGAAUUCCGUCUGUUCUCAUCACACGGACAUGGCUGAUCUGUCUCAGUGGUACCUGGGGGCAAAGCAGGGAGCCGGGCGGUGGAGGCCAACAUUGUUACCAAGUUGGCUCUGUCUCAACACAGGGACUGAGCCUUCUGAGCCUCAAGAGUUCCUGCUGGUUCCCAGGUGGUGGA
RNAcentral lists this small RNA (446 nucleotides) under Mus musculus (house mouse). Its description in RNAcentral is "partial mRNA-like noncoding RNA". The record is from RNAcentral. Lineage: Eukaryota; Metazoa; Chordata; Mammalia; Rodentia; Muridae.